UACGAAGGGGGCUAGCGUUGCUCGGAAUCACUGGGCGUAAAGCGCACGUAGGCGGAUUGUUAAGUCAGGGGUGAAAUCCUGGAGCUCAACUCCAGAACUGCCUUUGAUACUGGCGAUCUUGAGUCCGGGAGAGGUGAGUGGAACUGCGAGUGUAGAGGUGAAAUUCAUAGAUAUUCGCAAGAACACCAGUGGCGAAGGCGGCUCACUGGCCCGGUACUGACGCUGAGGUGCGAAAGCGUGGGGAGCAAACAGG
Molecule: ribosomal RNA, 253 nt
Filed under: uncultured bacterium
Lineage: Bacteria
Description: partial 16S ribosomal RNA
Rfam family: Bacterial small subunit ribosomal RNA
Source: RNAcentral